UUCGUCACACUAUCAUUAACUGAAUCCAUAGGUUAAUGAGGCGAACCGGGGGAACUGAAACAUCUAAGUACCCCGAGGAAAAGAAAUCAACCGAGAUUCCCCCAGUAGCGGCGAGCGAACGGGGAGGAGCCCAGAGCCUGAAUCAGUGUGUGUGUUAGUGGAAGCGUCUGGAAAGGCGCGCGAUACAGGGUGACAGCCCCGUACACAAAAAUGCACAUGCUGUGAGCUCGAUGAGUAGGGCGGGACACGUGGUAUCCUGUCUGAAUAUGGGGGGACCAUCCUCCAAGGCUAAAUACUCCUGACUGACCGAUAGUGAACCAGUACCGUGAGGGAAAGGCGAAAAGAACCCCGGCGAGGGGAGUGAAAAAGAACCUGAAACCGUGUACGUACAAGCAGUGGGAGCCUCUUUUAUGGGGUGACUGCGUACCUUUUGUAUAAUGGGUCAGCGACUUAUAUUCUGUAGCAAGGUUAACCGAAUAGGGGAGCCGAAGGGAAACCGAGUCUUAACUGGGCGUUAAGUUGCAGGGUAUAGACCCGAAACCCGGUGAUCUAGCCAUGGGCAGGUUGAAGGUUGGGUAACACUAACUGGAGGACCGAACCGACUAAUGUUGAAAAAUUAGCGGAUGACUUGUGGCUGGGGGUGAAAGGCCAAUCAAACCGGGAGAUAGCUGGUUCUCCCCGAAAGCUAUUUAGGUAGCGCCUCGUGAAUUCAUCUCCGGGGGUAGAGCACUGUUUCGGCAAGGGGGUCAUCCCGACUUACCAACCCGAUGCAAACUGCGAAUACCGGAGAAUGUUAUCACGGGAGACACACGGCGGGUGCUAACGUCCGUCGUGAAGAGGGAAACAACCCAGACCGCCAGCUAAGGUCCCAAAGUCAUGGUUAAGUGGGAAACGAUGUGGGAAGGCCCAGACAGCCAGGAUGUUGGCUUAGAAGCAGCCAUCAUUUAAAGAAAGCGUAAUAGCUCACUGGUCGAGUCGGCCUGCGCGGAAGAUGUAACGGGGCUAAACCAUGCACCGAAGCUGCGGCAGCGACGCUUAUGCGUUGUUGGGUA
This 1052-nucleotide ribosomal RNA is filed under the name Escherichia coli. RNAcentral describes it as "partial 23S ribosomal RNA". It matches the Rfam family "Bacterial large subunit ribosomal RNA", at positions 139 to 1230 of the family's 2925-position model. Lineage: Bacteria; Pseudomonadati; Pseudomonadota; Gammaproteobacteria; Enterobacterales; Enterobacteriaceae. The record is from RNAcentral.